Molecule: ribosomal RNA, 363 nt
Filed under: Triticum aestivum (bread wheat)
Lineage: Eukaryota; Viridiplantae; Streptophyta; Magnoliopsida; Poales; Poaceae
Description: partial small subunit ribosomal RNA
Source: RNAcentral
AUGUAUCUGGAGGACUACAAUUGUGCCUUAUGCUCCGGCGCCACAGAGGAAAACCGAGCACAUGUUUUCUGGGAUUGCCAAUUUGUACUAGAGUGCUGGCAGACGCUCACACCCGGGAAACAGAGGGGUAUAUGUGCAUAUGAUGAAAUUCAGCUUACAAAGUUCAAACUUCCACCAGAUAUUGCGAUGGAGAUUAUACUUAUGGGUUGCUGGAGCAUAUGGAUGAGCAGAAAUGAGAAGAUUUUCAGAAGAGCAGCACCUAGGAUUCACACUUGGAAACACUACCUGAAGGAGGGCCAACAGGUUACUCAGAUCAGAGCUAAAUCAGUCAAGGCAGGUAAGAUCAACGUCUGGAUAGAAUAG